CGGAGAAAGUUGAACAAGAAACCCAGUAGUACCAAGUUCCUGAGAAAAAGAUAAAAAUGAGGGAAAUUGUACAUCUCCAAGCUGGUCAGUGCGGAAACCAAAUAGGAGCUAAGUUUUGGGAAGUUAUCUCAGACGAGCACGGUAUCGAACCUACAGGAACCUACAUGGAGAUUCAGAUUUACAAUUAGAAAGAAUCAACGUAUACUACAAUGAAGCUACAGGUGGAAAGUAUGUGCCACGUGCUGUCUUGGUUGAUUUGGAGCCCGGUACCAUGGAUUCUGUCCGAUCUUGACCAUUUGGUCAAAUUUAUAGACCAGACAACUUUGUUUUCGGACAGAGUGGUGCAGGAAACAACUGGGCCAAGGGACAUUACA
Molecule: long non-coding RNA, 374 nt
Organism: Mytilus californianus (California mussel)
Lineage: Eukaryota; Metazoa; Mollusca; Bivalvia; Mytilida; Mytilidae
Exons: 3
Source: RefSeq, a predicted model, not a curated record